This 490-nucleotide ribosomal RNA is filed under the name uncultured bacterium. Its description in RNAcentral is "partial 16S ribosomal RNA". It matches the Rfam family "Bacterial small subunit ribosomal RNA", at positions 29 to 507 of the family's 1533-position model. The record is from RNAcentral.
AAUGAACGCUGGCGGCAUGCCUUACACAUGCAAGUCGAACGGCAGCAUGACCUAGCUUGCUAGGUUGAUGGCGAGUGGCGAACGGGUGAGUAAUGCAUCGGAACGUGCCUUUUAGUGGGGGAUAACGUAGCGAAAGUUACGCUAAUACCGCAUAUUCUCUGAGGAGGAAAGCAGGGGACCUUCGGGCCUUGCGCUAGAAGAGCGGCCGAUGUCGGAUUAGCUAGUUGGUGAGGUAAAGGCUCACCAAGGCAACGAUCCGAAGCGGGUCUGAGAGGAUGAUCCGCCACACUGGGACUGAGACAAGGCCCAGACUCCUACGGGAGGCAGCAGUGGGGAAUUUUGGACAAUGGGCGCAAGCCUGAUCCAGCCAUGCCGCGUGAGUGAAGAAGGCCUUCGGGUUGUAAAGCUCUUUCGGCUGGGAAGAAAUCGCACCCUCUAAUACAGGGUGUGGAUGACGGUACCAGCAUAAGAAGCACCGGCUAACUACGUG